CCUUACCAUGCCUCCUCUUUGCAUUGUCCGUUUCAUCUCUCACCACUGUUGCAUCAUCUCCUCCCUCUCUAGCCACCACCAUGUUAUCCACUCUUUCUCUCACCAUAGUCACAUCAUCUUCUCCUCCUCUUGCUGCCAUUAUGAUUUUAAAAGCUCGAGGGCUAGCUCGACAUUCGAAGCUGCUAAACUUGAGCCUAAGAAGUA
RNAcentral lists this long non-coding RNA (204 nucleotides) under Elaeis guineensis (African oil palm). Its description in RNAcentral is "long non-coding RNA (EGUI_LNC000979)". The record is from RNAcentral. Lineage: Eukaryota; Viridiplantae; Streptophyta; Magnoliopsida; Arecales; Arecaceae.